Long non-coding RNA from Hibiscus syriacus, 925 nucleotides. RefSeq lists it as uncharacterized. The record is from RefSeq and is a predicted model, not a curated record. The transcript is spliced from 2 exons. Lineage: Eukaryota; Viridiplantae; Streptophyta; Magnoliopsida; Malvales; Malvaceae.
UCAAGCUAGAUACUUGUCAUCCGAGGUCUUCUAAAGUACUGGCCUGUAAUUAAUAGUUCAAAGGAGGUGAUGUUCGUUGGAGAGUUGGAAGAAUUCUAGAAGUUACUCAGGCAGCAGAAUUCCAACGCUGUAUGGUUCCGCUUUUUCCGUCAGAUUGGUCGCGCCUCAACAGCUCUCCAUUUUCAGGUUGCUGAACGUGCUUUGUUUUUGUGGAACAAUGAUCACAUAAAAAUCUGAUCACCCAGAACCGUUCGGUAAUACUCCCUAUAAUCUUCCAAGCAUUGGAGAGAAAACACGAGGUCAUUGGAGCCAGGCAGUUCGGAGUCUUACACUUAAUGUCAGGAAGACAUUCUCGGAUGCUGAUCAGGUGCUCUUUCUCGAAUGUUGGCCAGAUUCCAAGAAGAUGAAUCCAAGGAAAAGAGAUGCAGGAGAAGCAGGAACUAACCUGGAGGCAUUUGGAAGAUAUGGCCUCCUCUACCACCGUAAGCAAUGAGGCAGUAUUGGUUUCAAGUUUCGUCUCUUCCGUUGCUGUUGCAACAAGCCUAACUCCAAAGGCACUGGUGGGCAGUUGAGAGAAGCGACGAAAGCAACUUGUAAGAAAUCAUACCACAUCCACCAUAGUGAAAUACUGAAAUGGAUCCAGGGUGUAGCUCAAAUGGGUUAUGGGUGCACCAUGGGAAUCAGUAGAGCUCGCCGCAGUUUUUAACACUCGUGUCUCAAUAACCAAGUGGUGGUAUGUUGAUAUCAUCAUAUCAAGGUUGUUUCUUUUUUUUCUUCUGUUUUCCCAAUUCUGAAAUCAUUCAUUUUUUUUUCGUCUAGCUCCUUCCUCAUCCACGGCUGAGGAGUCGGUGUGUUCGAGUGAGUGUAUGAAAGCGAUUUGAUGUAACAUCAUAUUGUUAAUAUAAAGGCGGUUCGUUGGAUUUGA